RNAcentral lists this long non-coding RNA (277 nucleotides) under Anser cygnoides (Swan goose). Its description in RNAcentral is "lncRNA (ENSACDG00005012858.1)". The record is from RNAcentral. Lineage: Eukaryota; Metazoa; Chordata; Aves; Anseriformes; Anatidae.
GUGAUACCAUUGCUGUUUUAGCUACGAGUGCAGAGCACAGCACUGUAUGGGCUGCUGCAGGGAAAGUUAACAUCCCAGCCUGACCCAGUACAUGGUGCCUGAUGUAAUCCUCUGUGAUGUUUGCGAUUCUGGCUCAGCACAUGGGCACUGGAUGAGGCAGAGCAUACUGCAGGUGAUAAAACAAUGGAUCAUUCAUGCAGAGAGAAAAAUAAAGACAAGGAGACUAUUGAUAAAAGAAGUAACUGUGAGCAUCUUUAGUCCUGAUUUCACAGCUUGA